UGUGGGAGCUGGCUUGCCUGCGAUAGCGGUGUGCCAGUCAACAUCUCUGGUCCUGACAGGCCGCCAUCGCAGGCAAGCCAGCUCCCACA
This 89-nucleotide unclassified non-coding RNA is filed under the name Pseudomonas libanensis. The record is from RNAcentral. Lineage: Bacteria; Pseudomonadati; Pseudomonadota; Gammaproteobacteria; Pseudomonadales; Pseudomonadaceae.